RNAcentral lists this transfer RNA (84 nucleotides) under Candidatus Wolfebacteria bacterium. RNAcentral's name for it is "tRNA-Leu". It matches the Rfam family "tRNA". From Rfam's summary of the family: Transfer RNA (tRNA) molecules are approximately 80 nucleotides in length. Their secondary structure includes four short double-helical elements and three loops (D, anti-codon, and T loops). Further hydrogen bonds mediate the characteristic L-shaped molecular structure. tRNAs have two regions of fundamental functional importance: the anti-codon, which is responsible for specific mRNA codon recognition, and the 3' end, to which the tRNAs corresponding amino acid is attached (by aminoacyl-tRNA synthetases). tRNAs cope with the degeneracy of the genetic code in two manners: having more than one tRNA (with a specific anti-codon) for a particular amino acid; and 'wobble' base-pairing, i.e. permitting non-standard base-pairing at the 3rd anti-codon position. Lineage: Bacteria; Candidatus Wolfeibacteriota. The record is from RNAcentral. RNAcentral also lists the same sequence under 1 other name.
GCCGGGGUGGCGGAAUUGGCAGACGCACACGCCUCAAGAGCGUGCGAGAGUAAUCUCAUGAGGGUUCAACUCCCUCCUCCGGCA